RNAcentral lists this ribosomal RNA (253 nucleotides) under uncultured bacterium. RNAcentral's name for it is "partial 16S ribosomal RNA". It matches the Rfam family "Bacterial small subunit ribosomal RNA", at positions 524 to 776 of the family's 1533-position model. The record is from RNAcentral.
GACAGAGGCGGCGAGCGUUACCCGGAUUCACUGGGCGUAAAGGGUGCGUAGGCGGUCGCGUGUGUCGUCGGUGAAAUCCCCCUGCUCAACGGGGAGGGUGCCGACGAAACUACGCGGCUGGAGGGCCGGAGAGGGAGGCGGAACUUCCGGAGUAGCGGUGAAAUGCGUAGAUACCGGAAGGUACCUCAAUAGCGAAGGCAGCCUCCUGGCCGGUUCCUGACGCUGAGGCACGAAAGCGUGGGGAGCAAACCGG